AACCGCAAAGCGCUCAGUAAACCAGGUUUUAAUUUACUAGAGUACAUGCCUUUCGCGGGUCGUGGAUAACUGUGGUAAUUCUAGAGCUAAGACAAGCAACCAGCCCUGACCUUAAUUGGAAAGGGCGCUUUUAUUGACCAGACCCAUCGCCCGGCUUGUCUGAGCGUUGGCUUGGUGACUCUAGAUAACACCUCACUUCGCACUGUCUCCGUACUGGCGACACAUCUAUCAAAUGCCUGACUUAUCAACUGUCAAUGGUAGACUCCUUGUCUACCAAGGGAUUACGGGUAACGGGGAAUCAGGGUUCGAUUCCGGAAGGGAGCCUGAAAAACGGCUACCACAUCCAAGGAAGGCAGCAGGCACGCAAAUUACCCAUUUCCAGAACGGAGAGGUAGUGACAAAAAAUAACGAUACGGGACUCUAUUGAGGCCCCGUAAUCGGAAUGAGUACACUUUAAAUCCUUUAACAAGGAUCCAUUGGAGGGCAAGUCUGGUGCCAGCAGCCGCGGUAAUUCCAGCUCCAAUAGCGUAUAUUAAAGUUGUUGCAGUUAAAAAGCUCGUAAUUGGUUUUGCGUGCCACGCUGCCGGUUCGCCGCCGUCGGUGCAACUGGCACGCUGUGGCUCGACCUGUCGGGGUGAACGGGUCCCACGCGUGUGGUCUUUGGUCUCGGCCGAAGCCGCUGCCGUGGGCAAACGUUUUGCCGAAACCCUGCCCGGUGCUCUUAAACGAGUGUCGAGGUAGGCCGACAAAUUCACUUUGAACMAAUUAGAGUGCUUCAACAGGCUAAGAUUCCAGCCUGAAUAGUGGUGCAUGGAAUAAUGAAAUAGGACCUCGGUUUUGUUUUGUUGGUUUUUGGAACACCAAGGUAAUGAUCAAUGUGGACAGGCGGGGGCAUACGUAUUGCGGCGUAGAGGUGAAAUUCU
Molecule: ribosomal RNA, 923 nt
Filed under: Ptilocerus sp. CW-2010
Lineage: Eukaryota; Metazoa; Arthropoda; Insecta; Hemiptera; Reduviidae
Description: bacterial SSU rRNA
Rfam family: Eukaryotic small subunit ribosomal RNA
Source: RNAcentral